UAAAAAUUAAAAAUUAAAAACAAAUCAAACUUACUAAAACAUAAUUCGAAUCUAUUAAUUAUUAUUACUGUUAUUACUAUUACUAUUAUUAUUAUUAUUUUGCUAAGAAAUUGCACAGAGUUAACUCCUACAUGAAAAGGGAGAUGUUAAAGAGACAACCUCAGACUUAAUAUUCAAAGAGGGUUCCCUUACCUGCACGAGGAGGAGCAGCCGAACCUUAUCAAAAGUGGUAGAUAGAACCCACCACUUAUAGCCAAAAUCUCAAAAAUCAUGGCGGAAAAGAAUAGCCCAACUGCCCAAGCCCACAAGGACGAACAC
RNAcentral lists this long non-coding RNA (318 nucleotides) under Manihot esculenta (cassava). RNAcentral's name for it is "long non-coding RNA (MESC_LNC000591)". Lineage: Eukaryota; Viridiplantae; Streptophyta; Magnoliopsida; Malpighiales; Euphorbiaceae. The record is from RNAcentral.